This 451-nucleotide ribosomal RNA is filed under the name uncultured bacterium. RNAcentral's name for it is "partial 16S ribosomal RNA". It matches the Rfam family "Bacterial small subunit ribosomal RNA", at positions 29 to 523 of the family's 1533-position model. The record is from RNAcentral.
AGCGAACGCUGGCGGCAGGCUUAACACAUGCAAGUCGAGCGGGCAUAGCAAUAUGUCAGCGGCAGACGGGUGAGUAACGCGUGGGAACGUACCUUUUGGUUCGGAACAACUGAGGGAAACUUCAGCUAAUACCGGAUAAGCCCUUACGGGGAAAGAUUUAUCGCCGAAAGAUCGGCCCGUGUCUGAUUAGCUAGUUGGUGAGGUAAUGGCUCACCAAGGCGACGAUCAGUAGCUGGUCUGAGAGGAUGAUCAGCCACAUUGGGACUGAGACACGGCCCAAACUCCUACGGGAGGCAGCAGUGGGGAAUAUUGGACAAUGGGCGCAAGCCUGAUCCAGCCAUGCCGCGUGAGUGAUGAAGGCCCUAGGGUUGUAAAGCUCUUUUGUGCGGGAAGAUAAUGACGGUACCGCAAGAAUAAGCCCCGGCUAACUUCGUGCCAGCCGCCGCAGUAA